This is a long non-coding RNA of Athene cunicularia (burrowing owl), 1731 nucleotides long. RefSeq lists it as uncharacterized. NCBI's taxonomy places the organism in Eukaryota, Metazoa, Chordata, Aves, Strigiformes, Strigidae. The transcript has 3 exons. The record is from RefSeq and is a predicted model, not a curated record.
GAUGACUCCACUCCACUGCCCAGCGCGAGAUCACCGUCAGGGCAGCUCUGGCCUCUGCCCACCAAGGGCAGCCGCUGCCAAAGACGCUGAGUGUCCUGGAGAACACGCCGCAGGUGCGAGGCAUGCACACCAUCAUCAGCUCCCUCGCAGGCAGCCUGUUGGUCUCGCCUUGCCAGGCUGCUGCCGGCCAACGUCGCUUCCCUGUUGUUCAACACUGGCGGCUCCCCUGUGCCUCAGCCUUCUGUCUCCAAGGGCCCUCCUGGGAGGUUUCUGUUGUGGCAGCAGAUGAGCAUCUCGCUGAGGAGAGUCACAGCAAAUCCAGGCUUGGCAUCUCGGGGAGAAGCAGUUUCCAGAGUGGUUUUUCUGUUAUUGUGGAGAGGCGGGAACUGAAAAAUCGGCUAGAGUAGCUGAAUGAUUUUAUUCAUGAGCAGGCUGGAGAUGGACAGUGUAAGAAGGGUCACGUUUUCCAACUUAAAAGAUGUUUCAGUGUCGGGUCCAGAUCACCAGAGUCGGUGGGAGCAUUUUGUGCCACCCACCUGGACUCUGCGGUGCCCGAACCAUCCUUUCUGUCCCCCCCAACAGCCCUGAAGCACCUUGGGCUCUCUCUGCCACGGGACGACGGCGUUUCCUUUCCACAGUUUCUGUCGUGGCUCCUGCGCGCUCCCGAGAGGCCCCGGGACGUCCCCGGCGGCUCAGCCUGUGGGUGGCGCGGGUCACCUGCCUUGCUUCCCAGUUUGCUCUGGCCUGAGCCUUUGGACUUUGUGCUCUGGCAGGACACGUUGUCCCGCGCUGGGGCUGCCCUUGAGAAGCGUGUGGCUGUUGGCCCUUCAGGCAGGGCCAGAGUGAGGUGCUCCCUGUGUGCUGGGAAGCUGCUGGCACCAGAGGGUGCCUCGGACGCGAACCCUGCCCGGUUUCCCCAGGGCCCAAAGGUGACAGCCAGCUCUCAGCCGCAGCCUCUGCCCAUGGGCUGCGCCCACCUUGUGCUCGGGCUCCCAGCCGGGCGCUUGCUGGGCCUACCAGGCCGUCCAGAGCUGCCGUGGGGGUGCUGUGUGUGGGAGGCCCCCCCGUGGGGCAGUGUGCAUGCUGACAGCCCACGCUGAAGAGCUGUAGGCAGGGUGCCCAUUUCUUCUAGACCAGAACUGAUAUUUUUUUCUGACUUCUCUGGGGGUCCCCCUACUUUCCCCAGGCUUUGUGGGAAAUGUCCACGUCUAUGUUAGGUUUUCUGGUCACUGCAGAGCUCUCGGGUGUGAGCUACCCAGGUCGGGCUGCAAAAAUAUCUCAGGGUAGUAACGACUGUUUAUCCUUCUCCAGAGCUGCUGGCUGGGCUGUCUGUCAUCGUGCUGAGAUGUGAGAAGUGGCAGAUGAUGUCUUAAAAUACAGAGUAAAAAUAUUCAGUAUCCUUCUGCCUCUUCUGGACUGUUGCCAGUUCCACCUCUUCCAUCUAGAAACUGGGAAACGUCCGUGGGGUUUCUUUGUUCAUUACGUUCUCCAGAACAUGCCAGGGGCGUGCGCAGGCCGCCCUGCUUUAGACAGAGGUCGCGGAAGCGACAACAGAUUUCAGCUGCGUCCUGUUAACCGCGGUGCUGCGGUGUCGCUCUGCGCCCCGGGUUUUGCUCAGCCGGGGAGCCGGGAGCUUGUUCUUGAUGAUUCUCUGGUAAAACUUAGGUUGCAACCUGCUUCUUUUGCCAAAGCAGCCACAGGCUGCAGGAGGUGGAUUCUGUACGGUCGCGC